UCGAGGAUAGCUCAAUGGUGGAGCAUUCGGCUGUUAACCGAAGGGUUGGGGGUUCGAGUCCCCCUCCUCGAGCAA
RNAcentral lists this transfer RNA (75 nucleotides) under Ignavibacteriota bacterium. RNAcentral's name for it is "Ignavibacteriae bacterium tRNA-Asn". It matches the Rfam family "tRNA". Rfam says of the family: Transfer RNA (tRNA) molecules are approximately 80 nucleotides in length. Their secondary structure includes four short double-helical elements and three loops (D, anti-codon, and T loops). The record is from RNAcentral. RNAcentral also lists the same sequence under 2 other names. Lineage: Bacteria; Pseudomonadati; Ignavibacteriota.